AAACAUGAGAGUUUGAUUCUGGCUCAGGAUGAACGCUGGCGGCGUGCUUAACACAUGCAAGUCGAACGGAAUACAAGGGUUUACUUUUGUAUUCAGUGGCGGACGGGUGAGUAACGCGUGAGCAACCUGCCGUACUCCGGGGAAUAACACUUAGAAAUAGGUGCUAAUACCGCAUAAGACCACGCUCCCGCAUGGGAGAGGGGUAAAAGAUUUAUCGGGGUACGAUGGGCUCGCGUCCCAUUAGCUAGUUGGUGAGGUAACGGCCCACCAAGGCGACGAUGGGUAGCCGACCUGAGAGGGUAAUCGGCCACAUUGGAACUGAGAAACGGUCCAAACUCCUACGGGAGGCAGCAGUGGGGAAUAUUGGGCAAUGGAGGGAACUCUGACCCAGCAACGCCGCGUGAAGGAAGAAGGUUUUCGGAUUGUAAACUUCUGUCGCAGGGGAAGAAGAAUGACGGUACCCUGUAAGAAAGCCCCGGCUAACUACGUGCCAGCAGCCGCGGUAAUACGUAGGGGGCAAGCGUUAUCCGGAAUUACUGGGCGUAAAGGGAGUGUAGGCGGCGCUUUAAGUUAUGUGUGAAAGCCCACGGCUCAACCGUGGAACCGCACAUAAAACUGGAGUGCUUGAGUGUGGGAGAGGCAAGUGGAAUUCCUAGUGUAGCGGUGGAAUGCGUAGAUAUUAGGAGGAACACCGGAGGCGAAGGCGGCUUGCUGGACCAUAACUGACGCUGAGGCUCGAAAGCAUGGGUAGCAAACAGGAUUAGAUACCCUGGUAGUCCAUGCCCUAAACGAUGGAUACUAAACGAAGGGGGUAUUAACUCCCCCUGUGUUGAAGCUAACGCGAUAAGUAUCCCGCCUGGGUAGUACGGCCGCAAGGUUGAAACCUAAAGAAAUUGACGGGGACCCGCACAAGCAGCGGAGCAUGUGGUUUAAUUCGAAGCAACGCGAAGAACCUUACCAAGACUUGACAUCGAGUGCAAUUUGUGGAAACACAAACCUCCUUCGGGACACGAAGACAGGUGGUGCAUGGUUGUCGUCAGCUCGUGUCGUGAGAUGUUCGGUUAAGUCCGGCAACGAGCGCAACCCUUAUGAUAUGUUGCCAAUAUUAAGUUAGGAACUCAUAUCAGACUGCCGCGGAUAACGCGGAGGAAGGCGGGGAUGACGUCAAAUCAUCAUGCCCCUUACGUCUUGGGCCACACACGUGCUACAAUGGGCGCUACAAAGAGAUGCGAGCCGGUAACGGUAAGCGAAUCUCAUAAAGGCGUUCUCAGUUCGGAUUGAGGGCUGAAACCCGCCCUCAUGAAGUCGGAGUUGCUAGUAAUCCCGAAUCAGAAUGUCGGGGUGAAUGCGUUCCCGGGUCUUGUACACACCGCCCGUCACGCCAUGGGAGUCGGGGGUACCCGAAGUCAGUGAGCUAACCGCAAGGAGGCAGCUGCCUAAGGUAAAACCGAUGACUGGGGUGAAGUCGUAACAAGGUAGCCGUAUCGGAAGGUGCGGCUGGAUCACCUCCUUU
Molecule: ribosomal RNA, 1513 nt
Filed under: Clostridiales bacterium
Lineage: Bacteria; Bacillati; Bacillota; Clostridia; Eubacteriales
Description: bacterial SSU rRNA
Rfam family: Bacterial small subunit ribosomal RNA
Source: RNAcentral